RNAcentral lists this long non-coding RNA (1107 nucleotides) under Fukomys damarensis (Damara mole-rat). RNAcentral's name for it is "lncRNA (ENSFDAG00000021889.1)". Lineage: Eukaryota; Metazoa; Chordata; Mammalia; Rodentia; Bathyergidae. The record is from RNAcentral.
GGUGAGCCUUUGGCAUGUGUGCCACAGCUGUUUGUUAUCAUUGAAAGCACUAACAGGCUCAGCAACACUGGCCUAGUGGAAGAACUUAGUUUAGUUUUUUGCAUACCAAAUACAUUAAUGUGCAUACACACUUAAGAAUAUAAAUACAAAAUAUUCUCAGGGACUCUAUUCAACCAGCAAAAGCAAGUAUUUAUAUGUUAUACUUAUAUGUACUUUCUUCACAAAGAAACCAAGUACCUUGGAUGUGGUCAUAUAUAUUAGGAGAAAAGGCAGAAGCUAGUAGAGAUUGAGAACUGCGUUUAUACGAUUGAGGACAGUCUCAGGAAUCAGGAAGCAAUGUUUAUUAUACUUUGCCAUUUAAAGUACAGAAUAGCCUUAAAGAUUAAAAUGAAUGUUUUAGCAAAUAGGAUUGGUGUUUGUCUCGCUUUGAAUUUGUAGGGAACCAGAGACUGGUAUGAAUAUUUAGUGUAUUAUAGGUGUUGGGUUUUGCAGCAUUUGGUUUAUAUGAAUUAAUUAGAAGAUUGUGAUGAUUGUGAACAUACCAAACUACAAAUGAUUUUAACAUAAAAAUUCGAUUAAAUCUAUCCGUUUCCAAAAAUUCAUGAUUUUUUCUUCUUCUCCCCAGAGCAUCUGUCACAUCCAAGCCUGAGCCAAUUUCUCUUCAAAAGGGAGAACCUAAAGAAGUAGUUAAACCUGUGCCCAUUAUAUCUCCUGCUGUAUCCAGAGUCACUUCCACCCCCCAACAUGGCCUACAAUAAAGCACCAUGGCCCUUUGGUUCUGUGUCUUCACCAAAAGUCACCUCCAUCCCAUCACCAUCGUCCGCCUUCACCCCAGCCCACGCGACCACUUCAUCACAUUCUUCCCCUCCACCUGUGGCUGCUGUCACUCCUCCCCCAUCCUCUGCGUCUGGACUGCAUGUUAAUGCCAGUCUUAGUGCUGACCGGUGUUCAUCUGUGCUGAGCGCUGGUAAAGCUGCGGUUAAUGUCCCACGGCAGCCCACAGUCACCAGCGUGUGUUCCGAAACUGCUCAGGAGCUAGCAGAGGAACAGAGAAGAGGAUCCCAGGGUGACAGUAAACAGCAAAAUGGCUGCACAGCUGGAGAGUAA